UACGGGGGGGGCAAGCGUUGUUCGGAAUCACUGGGCGUAAAGGGCGCGUAGGCGGGAUGGCAAGUCAGUCGUGAAAUCUCUCGGCUCAACCGAGAAACGUCGGCUGAUACUGCCGUUCUUGAGGGAUGCAGAGGAGACUGGAAUUCCCGGUGUAGCGGUGAAAUGUGUAGAGAUCGGGAGGAACACCGAUGGCGAAGGCGGGUCUCUGGGCAUCUCCUGACGCUGAGGCGCGAAAGCGUGGGGAGCAAACGGG
This 253-nucleotide ribosomal RNA is filed under the name uncultured bacterium. RNAcentral's name for it is "partial 16S ribosomal RNA". It matches the Rfam family "Bacterial small subunit ribosomal RNA", at positions 524 to 776 of the family's 1533-position model. The record is from RNAcentral.